UCAUGGACGAGAGUCUGAACCAGCCAAGUAGCGUGAAGGAUGACUGCCCUAUGGGUUGUAAACUUCUUUUAUACGGGAAUAAAGUGAGGCACGUGUGCCUUUUUGUAUGUACCGUAUGAAUAAGGAUCGGCUAACUCCGUGCCAGCAGCCGCGGUAAUACGGAGGAUCCGAGCGUUAUCCGGAUUUAUUGGGUUUAAAGGGUGCGUAGGCGGUUUGAUAAGUUAGAGGUGAAAUCCCGGGGCUUAACUCCGGAACUGCCUCUAAUACUGUUAGACUAGAGAGUAGUUGCGGUAGGCGGAAUGUAUGGUGUAGCGGUGAAAUGCUUAGAGAUCAUACAGAACACCGAUUGCGAAGGCAGCUUACCAAACUAUAUCUGACGUUGAGGCACGAAAGCGUGGGGAGCAAACAGGAUUAGAUACCCUGGUAGUCCAAGGGCGAAUUC
Molecule: ribosomal RNA, 442 nt
Filed under: uncultured bacterium
Lineage: Bacteria
Description: SSU rRNA
Rfam family: Bacterial small subunit ribosomal RNA
Source: RNAcentral